ACGGGAGGCAGCAGUGGGGAAUUUUGCGCAAUGGGGGGAACCCUGACGCAGCAACGCCGCGUGCGGGACGAAGGCCUUCGGGUUGUAAACCGCUUUCAGCAGGGAAGAAGUUGACGGUACCUGCAGAAGAAGCCCCGGCUAACUACGUGCCAGCAGCCGCGGUAAUACGUAGGGGGCGAGCGUUAUCCGGAUUCAUUGGGCGUAAAGCGCGCGUAGGCGGCCCGUCAAGCGGAACCUCUAACCCGAGGGCUCAACCCCCGGCCGGGUUCCGAACUGGCAGGCUCGAGUUUGGUAGAGGAAGAUGGAAUUCCCGGUGUAGCGGUGGAAUGCGCAGAUAUCGGGAAGAACACCGAUGGCGAAGGCAGUCUUCUGGGCCAUCAACUGACGCUGAGGCGCGAAAGCUGGGGGAGCGAACAGGAUUAGAUACCCUGGUA
RNAcentral lists this ribosomal RNA (434 nucleotides) under uncultured Gordonibacter sp. RNAcentral describes it as "bacterial SSU rRNA". It matches the Rfam family "Bacterial small subunit ribosomal RNA", at positions 341 to 792 of the family's 1533-position model. The record is from RNAcentral. Lineage: Bacteria; Bacillati; Actinomycetota; Coriobacteriia; Eggerthellales; Eggerthellaceae.